AAUCAACGCUGGCGGCGUGCCUCAGACAUGCAAGUCGAACGAUUAAAGCUCUCUUCGGAGAGUGUAUAGAGUGGCGCACGGGUGAGUAACACGUAAGUAAUCUACCCUCGAGUGGGGAAUAACAACCGGAAACGGUUGCUAAUACCGCAUAAUGCAGCGGCACCGCAAGGUGACAGUUGUUAAAGAUUCAUCGCUUGAGGAGGAGCUUGCGGCAGAUUAGCUAGUUGGUAGGGUAACGGCUUACCAAGGCUACGAUCUGUAACCGGUCUAAGAGGACGGUCGGUCACACUGACACUGAAUAACGGGUCAGACUCCUACGGGAGGCAGCAGUCGGGAAUUUUGGGCAAUGGGCGAAAGCCUGACCCAGCAACGCCGCGUGAAGGAUGAAGUAUUUCGGUAUGUAAACUUCGAAAGAAUAGGAAGAAUUAAUGACGGUACUAUUUAUAAGGUCCGGCUAACUACGUGCCAGCAGCCGCGGU
RNAcentral lists this ribosomal RNA (479 nucleotides) under uncultured bacterium. RNAcentral describes it as "bacterial SSU rRNA". It matches the Rfam family "Bacterial small subunit ribosomal RNA", at positions 32 to 521 of the family's 1533-position model. The record is from RNAcentral.